RNAcentral lists this long non-coding RNA (1135 nucleotides) under Homo sapiens (human). Its description in RNAcentral is "non-protein coding lnc-PIGC-2:2". The record is from RNAcentral. Lineage: Eukaryota; Metazoa; Chordata; Mammalia; Primates; Hominidae.
CGAAGCGGGAAAAAGGCUGGGUGCCGCCGUCCCCCAGCUGCGCAACCCUAGGAACUCUCGGGAACUUGGCUGUGUUGUCCUGCCUCAGAGACAAAUUCAUCUAUUGUAGGCCUAGCCCCUGCCUUUGAAAACAAGGAAAGCAAAAAAAAAGAGCAUGAGGAAUUUGAAGACUGAGAGAUGAGUUGUGUAGCACCAACAUUUUCUUUCUGCCUGACCUUCAUACCUGAUGAAUUAAAAGCAUAGGAUGUUUGGAAGAGUGAGAUAGGGGACACAUUGAAAACAGAGAGGCAAUCUGAAGGCUACCUUGACGCAUCUGCAAAGCUCCCAGAUUCUGACUUUCACAAGACUUGCUUUCUGUUUCUGGGCCUCGCCUAAACAGACUGCCAGUCAUCCGAACCGUGGCAGGAUGGAGAUGUUUGUGUAAGGUAGACUCAAGUUUGCAAGACUCAAGAAGGAAACCACCAAACUAAUUUUACUUUCACUUAAACCAGAUUGAAACCAAGACUUGAAGAAUUAAAAACUUUGACAUUAACCAUUGAUUCACUCCAAUGAAAUAAUUGUGUUAUAGCCAGAAUCAUGGUGAAAUUGGAACAAGGCUUUUGAUGGGAUUUUUAAUUGAGGGACUUAUAUUAAAUUGGAUAUUUUCUUUAAUGAACAGCAUGUGGCCAAAAUUCUAUUUUCAUUAAAGUAUAUUAAGCAUCAUGACAACUCAUAUUAAACCUGCAACAAAUGAUUAAUGACAUUUAGAGACUUCAAAUGUCAUGAGACACCUUAAAUAUUAAGAAUCAAAAAGAACACCUCAAAGUUGUUUCUAUUCUUAGUAAUUAUGCUUAAAAAAACAUCUUUCCUUGCUUUGAAAGCCAGUUGCUAAAAAUAAAAACUGUUCCAUGAAAAAUCACAAUGCCCAAUGAUAAAUUUAUGUAUUUGUUUUUUAAAGGGGGAGGAUGGUGAGAAAAAUAGAAAGCUCCUGGCUGACAUCAGAGGUCACAAGAUGAGUUCCUCAUUUGUCCAAAUGACAUUCAGCUGCUAAAAGAAGUCAGACUUUUAGAGGGCUGUUGAAAAGACAGUAAGUCAGGAGGUUUUCAGUACAUGACUGCAGGGGAAUCAGACACAGGCUAGUCACUUAAGUUGCUUA